CCUACGGGAGGCAGCAGUGAGGAAUAUUGGACAAUGGGCGCAAGCCUGAUCCAGCCAUGCCGCGUGCAGGAUGACGGUCCUAUGGAUUGUAAACUGCUUUUAUACGAGAAGAAACACUCCGACGUGUCGGAGCUUGACGGUAUCGUAAGAAUAAGGAUCGGCUAACUCCGUGCCAGCAGCCGCGGUAAUACGGAGGAUCCAAGCGUUAUCCGGAAUCAUUGGGUUUAAAGGGUCCGUAGGCGGUUUAAUAAGUCAGUGGUGAAAGCCCAUCGCUCAACGGUGGAACGGCCAUUGAUACUGUUAAACUUGAAUUAUUAGGAAGUAACUAGAAUAUGUAGUGUAGCGGUGAAAUGCUUAGAGAUUACAUGGAAUACCAAUUGCGAAGGCAGGUUACUACUAAUUGAUUGACGCUGAUGGACGAAAGCGUGGGUAGCGAACAGGAUUAGAUACCCUGGUAGUCCACGCCGUAAACGAUGGAUACUAGCUGUUGGGAGCAAUCUCAGUGGCUAAGCGAAAGUGAUAAGUAUCCCACCUGGGGAGUACGUUCGCAAGAUGAAACUCAAAUGAAUUGACCGGNUGAGAGNGCGAGACGACGACGAGGGAGGAGG
This 608-nucleotide ribosomal RNA is filed under the name uncultured bacterium. Its description in RNAcentral is "bacterial SSU rRNA". It matches the Rfam family "Bacterial small subunit ribosomal RNA", at positions 338 to 948 of the family's 1533-position model. The record is from RNAcentral.